This is an RNA transcript of Microplitis mediator, 1796 nucleotides long. RefSeq lists it as uncharacterized. The transcript has 4 exons. The record is from RefSeq and is a predicted model, not a curated record. Lineage: Eukaryota; Metazoa; Arthropoda; Insecta; Hymenoptera; Braconidae.
GCAGACAUUUGAAAUCAACAAACUUGAGGCUGGGCCGCACCUAACGAAGUCCUGAAUUUAAGAAUUCUAAUUAUUUAUUAAAUAAUUAUCAUAAUUAUUAGCUUCCGACUAAAAGCAGAAGACGAACUUCCUCGGAAGAUUUUCAUCAUCCGAGUCCCAUAAAUAUUCAAAAAGUAAUUAGAAUUCUUAAAUUCAGGAUUUUGUUAGGUGCGGCCCACCCUUAAGUACGAAUAAAGUGAGAGCCCCAGUACCCAGCACCUAAUAGCUAACUGGUCAAAUGCUUUAAGUCGGACUCAAAAUAUAUAUAAAUCAUUACAUUACGAUAUUCAGCCUACCUUACAGAAACGUUCAUGUACAUUAAAUUAAAGAGAGACUACUUUUUUAUUAGCCAGUAGCUCUAUAAUUAUAAUUAUGUCUAGAAUUUAUUUGCACAUGUACAAUUUAAUGAAUAAAGCUUGGAUUUAAUAAUUGUCUCAUUAAGAAAUCCGCAGCCUACCAUAUGGAAAAGUACAUGUACAUUAAAUUAAAAACGGUCCUUUUUUUUGAAACCGGUUACUCUAAUUAUCUCAAUGCCUGUGACUCGUUUGUACAUGUACAAUUUAAUGAAUAAAGCUUGGAUUUAAUUAAUAAUCUCAUUAAGAUAUCCGUAGCCUAUCAUAUGAAAAAGUACAUGUACUUUAAAUUAAAAAGCCACUACUUUUUUAUUCGCCAGUAGCUCUAUAAUUAUAAUCAUGCCUGGAAUUUGUUUGUUCAUGUACAAUUUAAUGAAAAAAACUUGGAUUUAAUUAGUAUCUUAUUAAGAUAUCCGCAGCCUACCAUAUAAAAAAGCUUUCCAUGGCUCUAAAAUAUCCCAAAAAUUAGCAUUUGCAAUUUUUCUAAAUAAAAUGUACAUAAGUGAAAAGCUUGGAUGCGAGUAGGCUAGUUAUAUAGUGAAAGCAAUCGAUAAAUCUACUCUACAACUAGUUUCAUUUAACGAAAAUCAUAAUCACCCAAAAGAUAACAUUCCUGUUUAAAUAAUUUGUGCGAAUAAACUAUUAGAUGAUGCUGAAAGCAAACAAAUAAAGUCUAUAAUAAAUAAGUAUUUCAGUAAAAUCCAAGACAACGAAAGGAAACAGAAAGAAGCCGAUCAAUUGAUUGACGAGUUGAAGUUAAUCAAAGAAAAUAACAAAAACAUAGUGAAAGAGAAAAUUAAACUGAAAGAUUGCAGAAUUAUAUUGGAGGAAAUUAACGAAGAACAGCCGAUAAAGAAGAGAAAGAGAGAAUUAAAAGGGAAAAAUAGAUCCGGUUUAAAAAAAAUUAGGAGCAUUCUCUCUGUGGAGUCCGGAAAUGUACCUACUGAAAUGGUGGCGGGUGACAAGACUGAAAACGAAGUUCCUGAUGUCAAUGGCGGCGGUGAUGGUAACAGUGACCUGAAAAAUAACAAUCCAGUCGUAGAAGAGGACAAAGACUUGAAUGGUGAUGGCUGCGAUCUUCCGAUACCUGAAAAAACUGCUAAUGUACCUACUGGAAUGGUGGAUGGUGACAAGACUGAAAACGAAGUUAUCGACGUCGGUGGUAGCAGUGAUCGUAACAGUGACCUAAAAACCAAAAAGAAAAUGAAUAAAAAAGGAACACACCUACUGUCACAAACAAAAAAACAAAAAUCAAAAAACAAAGAAGACUGGACGUGCGCAAUAUGCAAGAAAAAUAAAAUAAUGAAAACGCAUGGAUGCAAACUCCAUGAUAUGUAGUACCAUGAACAAUGCAGUGAGGAUAAAAAUUUACUAGGUCGAAACCGAAAAAAUUUAUGUAUUGCA